GAGAGAGAGAGAGAGAACAGCUGCAGUCGGCCUCCAAGUCAGACUCACAGCGAUACUGACGGGUCGGAUCAACGCUGACCAAUCAAAACUCAAGCUGUGAAUGAGCAGAACAUGGACGUGAUCAUCAAGCAGGCGCUUGUGCUCUUAGUGAACGUUUGGCUGUGGACCUCAGGUGUGACUGCUGGCAGUGAUGUCGACCAGCCGGCCUUGCUGUGGAGAAACCAGGGUGACAACGCGACUAUCAGCUGCAAACAGUCCAAGGGUCCUGGCUACUACCAGAUGUACUGGUACCGACAGCUGCCUGGGGAAAUGAUGAAACAAGUAGUUUACACUAUGGAAAACUCCAAACCCGACUUCGAGGCUAAAUUCCAACUAGGUGAAAAGUUCUCAGUCUUUAAGCCUGAUGGUAAGAGCGGGACGUUCACCGUGCACAAACUGGUGCCAGGAGAUCAAGGCCUGUAUUUCGUUGGCACAUGGAUAACGUCUCACCUCGUGUGUCGGAGGGGCAGGAUGACAGACACCGCAAAUAUUCACCUCCUGUUUUAUUCAUCACUUUGA
This is a non-coding RNA of Gambusia affinis (western mosquitofish), 558 nucleotides long. NCBI's taxonomy places the organism in Eukaryota, Metazoa, Chordata, Actinopteri, Cyprinodontiformes, Poeciliidae. The record is from the annotation of a RefSeq genome assembly.